AUCGGCCUGGAGGCUCCCUGGCCUUCCUGCCGGGGUGGAAACGGGUGUCUGCUACCGGGGUUCGUGUGGAGCAGGAAGGGGGAAGGCGACGAGGUGGAAAAGACCGCUGGGCGCCCCGAGGAGGCGGAGCUGCUGGGAGGGGCCUCCCUCCGCCCGAUCCUGUUUAAUCUCAAACUCUAGGCCCUGGGGACGCGCCACCCUUCCCGCCGAGGAGACUGGGUUUUCCUCCCAGGGUUCUCCAAGCAAAGCCUGUCUGUGUUCCAGGCUGGUGCUGACUAGAGGAGGCAAAGCCAAAAUUAGCCCCAGGCCCUCCCUCAAGUAGUGAAGGGGCCACCGGGCCUCCCCUCAACCCGUAGGGGGUCACGGGCCCCGCCCCGCUCCCGGUCAAGACCCUGACAUUGCGGAGGGUCAGGAGGGGGGAGCGAGGAUCCGGGGCCUGGCACCCUGGGUGGGGCACCGUCCCCAGGGAGGGUUGGGCAGGCGCCCCCAGCCUCCAGCCAUCCCGCCCGCUGUGGGCGCCCCGGUGGCCGAGGAGCCAGGAGCGGCUCCCGGGGCUGUGCGCGGAGAACCCGGAAGAAGCGGAGGAGCCCCGGGCGGCGCUGAGCUGUGUCCCUGCCUGAGGGGGGCCCCAGCCCUGAGCCCGCAGCUCCAGAGGCUCCUGGGCCCUCCCCUUCUUCCCAGCACCGUCCCAGGGGGAAGGUAGCCCCCGGCGCAGGCGGGACCCUCGGCAGUCUGGCCCAAGAAACGGGGACCCUGUGGCUUCCUGUGUCUGGUGCCAUCAGGAAGUAGCCCCGAGCCAGAGCACAAAGGGCCUUUGUCCUGCCUGCCCCGCCCAGCGAGACCUCGGGCCCAGCCAGGGCUGGGGGCUGGGGGCUGGGUACCCUCUGGCCGGCUCUGCCACCAGCCGCCAGCCUGGUCCCCGGAGAGCCACACCCCCUCCCCUCCACGGUCCCCACCCGGCUGCCAUGACAAUGUCCUACCCAGCAGGAGGACCAGGCCGGAACCUUUGGCAGCCACCAGUUCCUGGAGAUUCCGACACCAAGUGCAGCCACUGUGCGGGGCCGGGUGUGGAGUGGCCCCACACCGACCAGCUCACGCCAGCUGGCAGAGCCACUGGGCCCCCUCCGUGGAGGAGGAGAGAGGCCUCGGGCGCCACGCGCUGUGCCCCAGGGCCACUCACUUCCUUGGUAGGUGGGGGAUGCCGGCCUGGGCCUCCCGAGACUUGAGCCCUGCCCCUGCCCUUGCCCCCAGAGAGACCUGUGCCAGCGAGCGUCCCAGGCCUCCCCUCCCUGAGCCUUGCACCCGGGCGGUGCGGGGGCCCUGCUGCACCCCAGAGCGGGCAUCAGCCCUCAGCCACUCCGUUAGCAAUCCUCCCCCCAGCUCAGGGCCUCAGAACUGGCCAUCCACGGAGCUCAGAGGCACCCGAGGGCCCUGGGGCCUGGGUAGGGACUGGCCAGCUCGGGGUCCUCCAGCAGCCAUACCCAGGUUCAUCCAGGAUGAAAGCAGGGCAGUGGGAACCACGUGAUUGGUUUAAAAGCAGGUGAGGGGCCGGGCAUGGUGGCUCAUGCCUGUAAUCCUGGCACUUUUGGAGGCCAAGGCAGGCGGAUCACCCGAGGUCAGGAGUUUGAGACUAGCCUGGCCAACACGGCAAAACCCCUGUCUCUACUAAAAAUACAAAAAUUAGCUGGGCAUGGUAGUGCACACCUGUAGUCCCAGCUACUCUGAUGGCUGAGACAGGAGAAUCACUUGAACCCGGGAGGUGGUGGCUGCAGUGAGCCGAGAUCGCACCACUGCACUCCAGCCUGGGCAACAGAGCCAGACUCCAUUUAAAAAAAGAAAAGCAGGUGAGGACGUGUGAGCAAGUCUGGGCCAUGCUGCCAAGCUCCCGCUUCUCCGAGCAGCUCCACACAAGGAGCAGAGGCAGCUCCAGUUCCACAGCCAGACACAGUCAUUUUCCCUCUACUCAGGAAUUAGGCAGGAUGGUGUGGGGCCUGAGUGUCACCAUGAAGCCGGGAAGCAGGUGUUCAGCCAGACGCAAAUAUUCCUCCUCAAAGCCAGGGGAGCGGCCACAGUGGAUUUUAUUAUGGGGCGACGGGGGCACGCCCAGUGCCCCGCCACUCUCCAUGUCCACAGCAGCGAGGGUGGAGGGCCCUGUGCUGUGCAGGGCAGAGCUCGGCUGCACCUGGGCCAGGACACAGCUGCCCAGGUGGGAGGAACCGUGGACGGGGCUGGGGCCUUCCUCGUCCCAGGGCUGGUGAGCUGCUCGCUCACUGUUUCUCAGUUCCAGGUAGACACAGUUUAUAAUUCUGCAGAAAACUCUGGGGCCUUUUGCCUUUGUGUUUUCUUUUUUGAGACAGGGUCUGACUCUGUGGCCCAGGCUGGAGUGCGGUGGUGCGAUCACGGUUCACCGAAGCCUCCACCUCCCAGGCUCAGCAAUCCUCCCACAGGUGGGCCCACAGGUGUGCACCACCACAGCCAGCUAAGUUUUAAAUUUUUUGUAGAGACGGGGUCUCACCAUGUUGCCCAGGCUGGUCUCAAACUCCUGGGCUCAGUUGAUCCGCCCGCCUCGGCCUCCCAAAGUGCUGGGAUUACAGGCGUGAGCCACCGCACCCGGAUGGUGUUUUACCACUGAGGUCAGAGGGCAGACGUUGCUCCAAGCGUUUCGUCUGCGGGUGGAGCUUUGGAACUGAUGGAGAAGGCAGAGUCCUGACCAGGGGCCGCCAUCAGAGCGCAGGGACGGUCGGGGGGGAUGCGCAGGGAGGAGGGAAGGGAAGGAAGGAGGUGCCAAGCCCUCCGCUCAGUGGAGGUCAGUGGAGGUUUGCUUCCUGCUCACACUGGGCCUGAUUGGGUCGGAGGGCACGCGGGGGCCGCUGUCUGUCCUCCGUGGGGCCUUGGCUUGUGUCCAAGGGAGGGAGACAGUAGAGGGACCCACGGCUCUGUGAGGCGUUCCCUGGCAUGACCUCACCUGUGUGCUCUCUCUCCCUGUCUCAGUCAGAGCUGAACCCAGGCUCCUGUGGACCAAGAGGGGGUCCAGGAAGAACUGCUCCUGGGACCCGGACAGAGCGGAGGCCGUGUGCACGAGCAGCGUGGACCAGAGGGGCCUCGGGGGCCACCUGCUCCGUCCGACCAGGCACCAGUCCUUCCAGACUCGCCUGAGGAUGCCCGUGGGCCCCAGCGACACCUGGGGUGCCCCCCACACCCCUGCACCUACCUGAGACCAAGGGUGGUGGUGGGGCUGUGUGCCUGAGUCCUGGCCCUCCCAGGGCCACCCUCAGGAGCGGCUGCACAGGCUCUGGCUGGCCGGGGCUCAGAGCAGCCCACGGAGCCAGGCCCAUCCUGGGAGGCUCAGGGCUGCAGCCCAUGGACUCAUGAGGGGGGCUUCUGGGGUCUAAGGCCAGAAGUGACCUUUCUUCUCACGGAGGCACCCCCACAUCACAGGCCCCAAGCUCCCACCAGGAGUCCCCAGGCAGCAGGUUUUCCACCACAGCCGGGAAGAGCCCCGCCUUCACCACCCACCACCAGCCAAUCCCGAGACCACCGAAGCCCCCAGACCGGGCCCUUUGCCCCUCCUGCCCCCCGGCUCUCCCUACUGCCCAGAGCCUCCGCCAGCACCCAGGGACCCACGUCCACCUCCCAGAGCGGCCCUGCCCAGGGUCCUUCCCUGCCCUCCACGAUUCUCCGUGGCCCUUGGAGAAAGAGCAGCUUCUCCCCAGGCUCUGCCCCCAGCCCUUCCACCCCAGAGCCUCUGCCCAGACGUCCCGUCCCAUCCCGGGGGGCUGUCACGCUUCCGCCCCACCUCUCGCCCAUUCCCGGACAGUCACAGCCGUGGAACAACGCAGCGUGUGGACACAGCCCCAGGGAAGCUUGACUCUGCCUGGUCCCCAUGGCGUGCGGUGGCUCACCAGCCGCCCCCAUCGCUCCAUGAAAUCUGACUACACCUGUCCCAAAAAUCAACCAGCUCCCAGGCAGGUCCCGCCGUGCAGGGGGCCAAGGGCCACACCUGGGACCAGUGAGUGAGGCGGCGUGCGGGUAGUGGGGGUGUGAGCCCGAGACGGGGGUCCAGCCUUCUCCCACUUGGAUGCCAACAGCAGACUCUGGAUUUGGAGGUGUGGGCGGUGCCUUAGUCUCCCCAGAAGACAAGAGCCCACCCGCCGGGUGUGUCCUGACCCCACCCCCACCUGCCCCACACAGACACCUGAGUGGGCAUCAGAGUGGGCCGGGCCCUGACUGUCCGGGGGAGGGACUGUUGGGGCAAGGGCAGUGGGUCAGAGGUCACCGGUGCCCCCAGGACCAGUUUCCAGCGAGAAGAGAGCCAGGAGCCCCGGGCACAGGCCCACGGUGAUGAGGCUCCUGACCGAGCUCCCAGAGCUCAUUAUGGAAAACCGUGGGGUCCGCUGGGACCUCUCUGCUGGUCGGGCUAAUUACAGACCGUUUGUCGUUUCAUUAUGGGCUCUUCCUCUGGGAGAUGCGAGAAGCAAACACUUUGCCAUGGGAGGGGCGCUUCCCGGACCGGGCGGGGGCCCUGCCCUCCCCACCCCCAGACCCCUGGUCCCCCAGGCCUUCCAAGCUCCCAAAGAAAACUUGAACCCCCACUCCAGGGGCUCCAAAGUAACCUCCAGAGCCCAGAUGGGGAUGUUCCGGGAGCUGCUGGGGCCUCUCAGCUGUCCCUGCCUCGCAGGGAGGCUCAGGAAGGCACCCACACCCCUCCCUCAUUCCCCCAGCUGUGGGUCUGUGGGGUCUCGGAGCCUCUUGCCCAUUGGGGUGGGACUGGGGGCACGUAGCUCCUCCGAGCCCCUGGCGAGGAGACCGAUCCUGAGACCCACCUGGGCCUACGGGGGGUCCCUUCAUUGCUCCAAAAUUAAGGGCUGCGGGCCUGGAGCAAAGACAGGCAGGUAUGGCCCCUGCCCUCUGUCCAUGAGAGGCCUCAGCCCCAUGGGACAGGGCACCACCGCUGCAGGGAGGCGGCGGGCAGGUUGUGACCCCUCACCCUGGGGCCACCCUACCCGCUUCUAAGGCAGCCUGGGAAGGAGCCCUGCGGAGCUGGGGGGUGGGGAGGCAGAGGUGGAGAGGCGAGAGUUGCCCGCGGCUGCCCCUACCCCUGCCCAUGUCGCCCACACUCCACACGGGCCCCACAGAAGCCUUCCCAUCCUGGCUUUUGUUCAACCUCGGUGGGCGGCAAGGUGGGGGCGGGACGGAGUCUGCGGGGCCUGCGGGGCCCGGGCCUGCGUCACCGUCACUGGCCCGCCUCCCGCCCGGCCUAUGGGAGCCCAGGGGACACACCUGUCGGGGGCCAGGAGCGGAGAUUGGCCAGCGGGAGCUCGCACCUGUGUGGGGCGGGGAGCACUGCUCCUUGUAAGGCGAGCCCCCGCCGAGCCGGCUCUUCCCUCCCGAGGCCCCCACCUCGCCACCGCCUCCCAUUGUCCCGUCGCCCUCGAAACUCUCCCAGAGACGGGCGAGUUGUCCACCUGUGCAGGUCUGAACUGACUUCCUGUGCCAGGGCCUCGCCUGAGCGGGGGCAGGAAGCUCACCCUUGCAGGUCUCCCCGCGCCAACGGACGCCCUGAGGCCUGACCCUGGCUGAGGCAGAGCACCCAGCUCCGUGGACCGGGACGGACGGGCUCAGGUGCCCCCCAUUCCUUCCGAAGCCGGUUCACACCCACCCGGGCCUGGCACAGGGGAGGCGCUGGCUGCAGGGUCGGGGCGGGAGCAGCCUCAACCCGGCUCCUGGGCCGCGGCCGCAGCAGUGGAACCUGUCGGGGCAGCAGGCCUUCUAGAAAGUUCUCUCCAGAAGCAGCCACCGCCGUCCUGAGGCACUUUGUGCGGAGACGGGAAGCUGUCGCCUCAGAGGUGGGUGCGUAGAAGGGUUUGGCCGGGUGCGAGGAUGACCGCGUCUCCCUUGGGCUCUGGAGUCUGCGGUGGGAAGGGCUUGGUUUCAGCACCCUCUGGUCAGAGGCCGGCCGAGCCCAUGGGCGGUGAGGUUGGUGCCUGGGGUCGUGGCUGGUCUGGUACAGGUGGGGCUCAGCCCGGAGAAGCUGGAGCCGGUUCCCAGGCCCCGCGCUAUGACUGGGGUGGGGGCAACGUCUCUCGUGAGGUUUUUUACUUAAAUGUGAAACGGCUCAGUACGGUGGCCGCAGCCGGGAACAAGGUCCGACCCACCGAGGCCCAGCCUUGAACUUGCCGCGGGGGCACCUGAACACGGUUUUACAGCCCGGAUCACUGGCUUUCUUGAAGUUUGGGAACUGAUUGAUCAUGGUGGCGGGAGGUAAGGUUCAUUGUUCUUGAUGAACAAAAUUCUUAGGGCGUGAAGAGCCGAUGCUUUAAUUAACCCCCCGGGAGCGUCUCAGGCCUCCCCCCGGGAGCGUCUCAGGCCCCGUUUACGCUGAGUGUCUGGGGAAAGACGUGGUUUGGUUUUGUUUUUCUAGUAACCCAGAUGAAAUGUUUAAAAGCAUGGUUGGCAGCACAUUGAAUUUGGCAAAAUUAAGGUUUGCAUUUGUGAAAAUGCGGAUGCAGUUUGCGGUUCUUUUCAGACAUUUUGGUAAUUUGCAAAUACUUAUUUGCGAAACGAGUUUGUCAGAACAUUUUUUAGUAUCUAGAGGAAGAUGAGAUGGGCCGAGGAGGUCGCGCACCCCUGGAUCCCUGGAGGAGCUGGUGUGUUCUCUGUGGGGCGGGUGGACGUGGCCCGGACACACGGGCCGUGCUCACAGCCGGCCUGCGAGGGCUGCAAAUCCACGCCCGCCGUGUGGGUGAAAUGGCGGCUUUGCCUCCCAGACGCGUAGCUCCGGCGACGCAGAGGGAAGAACCUGAGUGCCCGCCAGGCCGAGCUCCGCACCCCACCCCCCGGCAGCCUCUGACUCCCGGCUCGGCUCCCGCGGUCGGGGAGGGUUGGAUUUCACACUUUGUUCUCGAGGCCGCACCAUUGAUUAAGCCCGUCGGGCAGGUUAACCAACAAGUUAGGUUUUCACGCCGGGAUCACAUUCCUCGCCGGGCGCUCCCACCCCACCCCAGCCUGUGCAGGUGGGACCCGGCCAGGCAGGCGGGCAGGGCGGCCAGGUGCGCCGAGGGGCGCCUCCACGGGGAGUGUGCUCCGCAGAGAACCCCUUGCUGGGGCGGCUCUGGGCCUCCUGACUCACUCCUGGAUUUUCCCAAGCUGAGUCUGGCCCCGCGGUGAUGAUUAACCCAACACCUCAACCGGCACCGCCACGCUAGCUCCACUUCCCGGCGACGGUUGACAAGAAAGCGCCGCGUGGGGCUCUCGGAAAACAGGGAAGCUUCUGCACUCAGGAGGCGCCUGGGAAUCCUGCCCUGGAACUUAGGAAGGAGGCUUCUCCCACCUGCCUGCCACACGGGUCUGUCCCUGGGUCCCAGCCUCUGCCGUGUGCCCCUCAGCCUCCCGGGUGAGAACGCAAUGACUGAUGAGCCUGGGGUGGCCAGGCCAGCUCUGGCCCUGUGGGGUUCCUGAGAAGGCUGGCCCUGGGUGGCCAAGGGCCUGGGGACACUGGCCCCGGGCCCUGAACCUGGCAGUGGGAGGCCGGCCCGUCCGCCGGGUGGGCUGGGAACUGUGUUUGGCCCCAGCUGCAAGGGACGAGUGCCGGGCACCUGCUGCCCUCCCCACGUGACCUGGCAGCCAGGAAUGGAGCUGAAAUUCAACUCUGCUCUGAACGGGAAGUCUUAGUUUCCUUUAGCUCAGAAAACAGGUGAAAUUGUGUUCCUGAAGCACUGAUUUGAUGGGAUUUGAUGGCAUUGGUGGCGAAGGCCUGUGAGGUGAUGGAAAGGGAAAGCCGGGUGCCCUGGAGCCUGACAGGCUGGGGCCAGGGCAGGGGACCUGGUGUGGGGUCUCCGGAGAGGGUCCAGGCGUGAGGGAAGCUGGGUCAGGACCUCGGAGACGUGGCCUUUGGAGGAGGAGACUGGAACCGGGUGGACCCGGCAGCAGGCGGGGGCGGGCGGACACGACCUUUGUUGUGGUCGGCGGGCAGACAGGGGAAUCGGCACAGGGCCUGCGCCCCACCUACAGCCUCUGUGGGUGGAAGGUGCCAGAAAACUUGAAGAGUGGCUCUGGCCAGCUCUCUGGGCCCAGUUGGCACCAGGUGGUUGCAGAGAAAGGGUGGGAAGGAGGACAGGAAGGACGGCGUGUCCAGCGGGCGGGGAGCCUUGGUCUGGCCUGAGGGCUGAACCUCCCUCGGGUCCUGAGUGUGCCUGGAGUAGAAGCCUAGGGUCUCUGGGCUCCAGGCAGGGCCCUGAGCAAGGAGGGGCCACAGGGCUGCCCACUUCCUCCUGCCCCCCUGCAGAGGCGGCUCAGCCCUCGCGGCGUCUGAGGCUUGACUGCCUGUGUCUGUGUUUGUGGCCGGUCUGCCUCUGUGCCUGGGUCAGACCCCAGACCAGCAGACACACAAACCGCAGGGACGGCUGGGCAGGGUCAGGAGCCUGCCCCGCCCGCACCCCCACCCACACCCCCACCCCCACCCCCGCCUGCACCCCCUGCCCUCAGACGCUGUGCAGUGAGCGGGGCAGCAUGGGAGAGGGGUCUCCAGGUGGCGGGGACCGUUCUGUCUCGAGAGCCUCGCAGACACCGGGCCUUUGAGAAGAGAAGGGGCUGGGCAGGGAAGCAGCUCCUGGAACACCAUCCUGGAGACAGAGGCCCUUGUCCCCUGCCUCAGACAAGGCAGCACGUGGGGCCCGGGGGGCUGGGGCUGCUGUCCAGGCCUUCCUAUGGGACCACCCAGAGGGAAGGUCCCCCGCAGAGGGGUGGGGGCAGAGGGCCGAGCGGGGCGGGCAGAGGGCCCGUGUCAGCCCCACUCCGACCUAGUCCUCGGCCGUCUGGCCAGGACACUUCGGCCCCCCAGGUGCCCACCCCAGGACCCAAAGCUGGUGGCUGCUGGACUCGGCAGGGCUGGCGGGUGGGGCUCACCCGGGCCCCUGCCCUCCGGCGAUGCUGUCCUCAGUGCCCCAGGAGGACGAGGCCCCCCAGCUACUGAGCUUCCCAGCGAGUCCCAUGCAACCCUCAGCCGGGCGGCCCCCGGACCCAGCUCGGGCAGCCGUGGCCAUCUUACUGGGCAGCAUUGGAUGGAGUCAGGUCUCUAAUACUGCCUGGUAAUGAUGACGGCGGAGCCCUGCACGCAGCGACCGGCCGACCCCGUCCCGGCCCCCAGGGCCUCCCGCCGAGCCCCACACUCCCCUCCCACACAGCCCGCUCACCGGACCCCACCCCGUCCGGGCCAGAUGGCUCUGGGGAGAGUGACGGGGGGACGUGACCUUCGGAAGGGGGCUGGGGCGCCCCCCACCAGCAUCUCAGAGACCCCGGAAUGCAAGGCCUCCUGCAGCUGCACCCAGGGCGCCCCACAGUGAUCUGGGGAUUAGGACGCUCAGGUGUCCGGGCCCUGCCCACAGCGCCUGGGCGGGAGCUGCUGUCACACCCAGCAGGUGCGGGCCGAGCAGGACCCAACAGAGGGCUCAGGAGGGCAAGGCCCAACCGGGAGCCACGUGGAACCCAGAGGAAGCCGCCCCACCCAGCUUGGCCACAGCCAUCUUCCCUCCUGCCGGACAGGGUGGGCCGGCCACCGAGCAGACCAGUGCCCCCGCCUUGGUCCCGGGUCAGCAGCCCCAGGGUCCCCUUGCCCUGGAGGAAGCAGGGAGGGUGGGCCUGUGUGCAGUCUCAGGGCCCCCAAGCCCCUCUCCGCCAGCCCUGUCCGGUCCCGGCACCACCCCUGGCUGCUCACCGCUCCGGUUCUUCCCUGGGCUUCCACAGCAGCCCCUGCCUGCCUGGCGGGACCCCACGUCCCUCCCGGGCCCCUGUGAGCAUCUUACCGGACAGUGCUGGAUUUCCCAGCUUGACUCUAACACUGUCUGGUAACGAUGUUCAAAGGUGACCCGCCGCUCGCCGGGGACACCACCGAGGCACAUCCGGAGCUCCUACUCCAGGGAUGGGCUGGGGCGGAGGGCCGAGCGGGGCCAGCAGACGGGUGAGGGCGGAGGGCCGAGCGGGGCCAGCAGACGGGUGAGGGCGGAGGGCCGAGCGGGGCCAGCAGACGGGUGAGGGCGGAGGGCUGAGCGGGCGGCAGAGGGCCUGUGUCAGCUCCGAAGUCCAGCCCCCAGGGGAGGGGCCGGCCUCUGCCGGGGGUGCCCCCGGGGUCACUCACGCCCAGGCUGGGUCUGACACCUUGAGGACCCCUUGGUGCCUCCACAGGUGGCCUGGAGGGCAUCCUGCUCCCCCUCCCGGAGCCGCUGUGCCUCCCCCACCCAACCUCCCAGGCUGGGUUUUAGGGUGACCUGGCUCCAGGAAAGGCCAUAGGGCUGGGAUGCCAGGGCUGGAGAGGGAAGAGCAACAGUGGCCUCUCUCACGUGGUCCGGGCUCCGUGGAGGGUCUGCUGGGGGCGCAGGAAGGACAAGUCAACAAGAACAGGAACUUUGUCCAAAACCCACCAGGCCAGGAUGACCCAUUGUUUCAUCUUUUCCAUCUGCAACCAGGGCGCCUGGGACCGCACCCCCACACAAGGCCCCAGCCUGGGGAGGGGGCAGCCACCGGGGAGAGGCUGCCCUUCACUGUUACUCAUUAACCCGACCGAGCUUCAGGAAGCCAGCGAGGGGCUGCAGGGAACCUUUGCCAAGAGCAGGGCCUGGGUGACCAGGUGGCUCCCGGGUACCCCCACACAGCCAGGCUGGGCUGGGACCAGGUGCUGGGAUGGGGGCUGUCAGGGAAGUGCCUCGGGGGCUCGUUCUGCAGACCCAGGAGGGAUCAGGGCAGCUGCAGGAGGUGGCAGGAGCCGCCCCCGGGGCCUUCCCUUCACAGGCCCCGCAGACACCAGCCCAGGACCCGGAGGCCACCCACACCACCGCCGGCCGAUGGGCGUCUUACCAGACAUGGUUAGACCUGGCCCUCUGUCUAAUACUGUCUGGUAAAACCGUCCAUCCGCUGCCUGAUCACCGUUAGAGGAGAGAGCUGCCUGCCCUGCAGCUCAUCAGUGCAAAGCCGCCCGGUCUGGGGCUCUCAUGCCCCCCUCACUAUGGCCUGUGCCCAUCCGCAGCCCAUCAGUGCAAAGCCGCCGGGGUCUGGGGCUCUUGUGCCCCACCCUCGCCAUGGCCUGUGCCCACCCGGCCUCCUGGGGCCCUCGAGCUGUAGUCCCCGGGCAGAUGCUGUGGACCCCGUGCUAUCAGCCUGGCCCCUGGGGUCACAGUCACAGAUACCCGGAGCCCCACCCCACAGCCCCAGCCCCCUCGCCACCUGGGGAGGCUGAGACAGAAGCAGCUGGGCCCCCCAAAGUGCCUGAGCCCAGGGCACGGAGGAGCACAAAUGCCCAGCAGGGACAAUGUCACAGCGUCUCAGCGGCCAGGCAGCAGGACGCAGAGACCUCUGGGAGGUUCCCGGGGCCAGCCCUGGCCCUCCUCCUCCAGGGGCCAGCCGUGGGAUGCAGACCACACUCUCCCUCCAGGGCCCAUCUCUGGGGCUGAGGCGGGCGGGGCCGGUGCCCAGCUGCAAGACCAUGGGAUAGGGAAGGCAGGUGCUUGGGGCCACGCAGCCCUGCACUGGGGGCCCCUCCACCCCAGGCGGCUCACGAGGUGUCAUCUGGAGCUGUCCCCAAGCCGGGAUCUGCAGGUUGACCUCCCCCACCCGGGGCUAUCUCCAGACCCUCUUUCCUCCCUGGGGAGAUGGGGCAGUCCCCCGCAGGGCCAGCUGAAACCACCCCCAUGCUGCUGCCGCCUGAGCGACGUGUGUGGGGAAGAACUUGGAGUGCCACCCCCAGAAUGUGGCGUCCACCUCACCAGACCGCACGGGUGAGCCCUGGACUGCAAGGUGCAUAUAACACAAGGUUUGGACACACCUGGAGAGCUCGGGCCAGGCAGGGCCACACCUGUGAGCCUGAGCUCAUCCAACACCGCCCGGAGCUCGGGGACCUUCCCCAUCCCAGCACCUCCUCACCGCUGUGCCCGUCUGGCCAGUCCCUCCAAGCACCCCUCGGAUGAAGUUGCGCCCCACACUGCAGUGGGGCUCACUCUCCACAGCGCCUGCUGCGUUGCACGGGGUGUGACAGGAAGGACCCUGCUGGGGCUGGCGGGGCCGUACCCAGAGCCUCCCUGUGCGGUUUCUCCUCCUCCUCCUCCUCUCCAUAAGCACCGGGAACAAAACAGAAAAAAGUCUUUGUAUAGUAAUAAAGUCUGCAGUUCACGCACCCAUGCUUGGACCAGCUCCUUAUUUUAACCACACGUGCACAGACCCCCGCCGUGCAAAGGGCCCAGCUGAGGACAGAACCCCAGACACUGCAUCCGGCCCCGGAGGCCCCCAAGGUUCCUGGGAGAGGCUCCCUCCCUCCCUUCCCUCCUCUUUCCCUCCCCCUCCUCCUUCCUCUCCUCCAUCCCUCCUUCCCCCUCCUCCCUCCUCCUCCUCUCUCCGUCCCUCCCUCCCUCCUUCUUUUGCUCAGGAAUCUUCCCUGACUCUCCUGUGGUCAGCUCAGGUCAAGGUUCUGGGGGAAGGGGGAGUCCCUGAGUGGAGACACCUCAGCCUGUGCUGAAGGGAGCUACCGAGGGGGCAGCCGGUGGCCCUGGGGGGCCUCUCUGAGCAGGUGACCAAGAGCGUAUGGUGCCGGCCAGCAGGAGCGAGGGCUGCGGACAGGAUGGAGGCAGCCAGGCGCCAGCCAGGAGGGCUUCCUGGUCCAGCCACACCUGCCCCGGUGACAGCCACAGGUUGGUGGCAAAGGGGCCACCUCCCUUCCAGUGGCAGGGCCUGGCCUGCCUGGAGACCCCACCCACUGCCCGAGAGGUGCCAGGCCUCCCCCAUUCUGCCUGGCCCUGGGGGCUGCACCCACCUGGAC
RNAcentral lists this long non-coding RNA (12799 nucleotides) under Homo sapiens (human). Its description in RNAcentral is "non-protein coding lnc-TTLL10-3:5". The stretch from base 9788 to 9856 matches the Rfam family "mir-8/mir-141/mir-200 microRNA precursor family". The record is from RNAcentral. Lineage: Eukaryota; Metazoa; Chordata; Mammalia; Primates; Hominidae.